UACAGAGGGGGCAAGCGUUGUUCGGAAUUACUGGGCGUAAAGGGCGCGUAGGCGGCCUUCUAAGUCGAACGUGAAAUCCCCGGGCUCAACCCGGGAACUGCGUCCGAUACUGGAAGGCUUGAAUUCGGGAGAGGGAUGCGGAAUUCCAGGUGUAGCGGUGAAAUGCGUAGAUAUCUGGAGGAACACCGGUGGCGAAGGCGGCGUCCUGGACCGGCAUUGACGCUGAGGCGCGAAAGCCAGGGGAGCAAACGGG
This 253-nucleotide ribosomal RNA is filed under the name uncultured bacterium. Its description in RNAcentral is "partial 16S ribosomal RNA". It matches the Rfam family "Bacterial small subunit ribosomal RNA", at positions 524 to 776 of the family's 1533-position model. The record is from RNAcentral.